GCCGCGGUGGUGGAAUUGGUAGACACGAGGGACUCAAAAUCCCUUGCUGGCAACAGCGUGCGGGUUCGAUUCCCGCCUGCGGCA
RNAcentral lists this transfer RNA (84 nucleotides) under Parcubacteria group bacterium 21-54-25. RNAcentral's name for it is "tRNA-Leu". It matches the Rfam family "tRNA". Rfam says of the family: Transfer RNA (tRNA) molecules are approximately 80 nucleotides in length. Their secondary structure includes four short double-helical elements and three loops (D, anti-codon, and T loops). RNAcentral also lists the same sequence under 2 other names. The record is from RNAcentral.